RNAcentral lists this ribosomal RNA (253 nucleotides) under uncultured bacterium. RNAcentral's name for it is "partial 16S ribosomal RNA". It matches the Rfam family "Bacterial small subunit ribosomal RNA", at positions 524 to 776 of the family's 1533-position model. The record is from RNAcentral.
UACGUAGGAUGCAAGCGUUGUCCGGAAUUAUUGGGCGUAAAGAGCGCGCAGGCGGUAUGACAAGUCAGAUGUGAAAGAGGCCGGCUUAACCGGCAAGGGUCAUUUGAAACUGUCAGACUAGAGUGCAGCAGAGGAUAGUGGAAUUCCCGGUGUAGUGGUGAAAUGCGUAGAUAUCGGGAGGAACACCAGUGGCGAAGGCGGCUACCUGGCCCACUCUUGACGCUGAGGCGCGAAAGCUAGGGGAGCAAACGGG